This is a long non-coding RNA of Oncorhynchus tshawytscha (Chinook salmon), 2532 nucleotides long. NCBI's taxonomy places the organism in Eukaryota, Metazoa, Chordata, Actinopteri, Salmoniformes, Salmonidae. The record is from Ensembl.
GUUCGAUGUGUUUUCUCAAAAAGCCACGGGAUGGAACUGCCUUUUGAACAAUGAAAACAGUUAAGCUGUUUCCAAAACAAAAACUCAGAGAGAGGUAGAGAGAGAGAGAUGGAGAGGUAGAGAGAGAGAGAUGGAGAGGUAGAGAGAGAGAGAUGGAGAGGUAGAGAGAGAGAGAUGGAGAGGUAGAGAGCGAGAGAUGGAGAGGUAGAGAGAGAGAUAGAGGUAGAGAGAGAGAGAUGGAGAGGUAGAGAGAGAGAUGGAGAGGUAGAGAGAGAGAGAUGGAGAGGUAGAGAGAGAGAGAGAUGGAGAGGUAGAGAGAGAGAGAUGGAGAGGUAGAGAGAGAGAUGGAGAGGUAGAGAGAGAUGGAGAGGUAGAGAGAGAGAGAUGGAGAGGUAGAGAGAGAGAUGGAGAGGUAGAGAGAGAGAGAUGGAGAGGUAGAGAGAGAGAGAUGGAGAGGUAGAGAGAGAGAGAUGGAGAGGUAGAGAGAGGUAGAGAGAUGGAGAGGUAGAGAGAGAGAGAUGGAGAGGUAGAGAUGGAGAGAUGGAGAGGUAGAGAGAGAGAGAUGGAGAGGUAGAGAGAGAGAGAGAUGGAGAGGUAGAGAGAGAGAGAUGGAGAGGUAGAGAGAGAGAUGGAGAGGUAGAGAGAGAUGGAGAGGUAGAGAGAGAGAGACGGAGAGGUAGAGAGGUAGAGAGUUUCCAGCUUGUUCAUAUAUACAAUGUGUAGCCAAACUGCAAGUCACUUGUCUGAACCCCCUUACUACAAGUGCUUGCAGAAUUUAGCUUGAAGGAAAGCCAUAAACCAUCCAUCAUCAUUUGUUUGAAUGUAUUUUAAAGCAAGCACAUGAUUAACAGAUUACACAAAUUAUUUUUUACAGUAGCAGUAGAAACUAAACUAAAACAUAUCAAAUGUUAUAAUAUGUGAAGCCUAUAACAUGCCUAAGUAGAAAUAUAUGAAUGACCUUAAUCCCCAAUCUGCUUUAAAGCACAGCCAUGUUCUUCAUUGAUUAGUUCCACCUUCCUCCUGUUAAUAGUCAGGGGACAUUGUGUACUUAUACAUUUAGAUGGUUUUGUAGAUAUACGGAUAUCCAAUCUGAUGUGAGAGGUUAUUGUCCUAGCACCUAUUGUACCAAGAAAAACAUGACAUGUAUGAUGCUUGAUUGGUUAUUUGUUUCAGUUCCUUACUUCAUAAUCGACAUAAUCCCAAUCGUUACACACAAAGCUUACUGUCUAUGAGAUACAUUUGCUACCUUUUCACCACUCUCCAAAUUUUUUAUUUCAUCUUUAUUUAACCAGGUAAGCUAGUUGAGAAGAAGUUCUCAUUUACAACUGCGACCUGGCCAGGAUAAAGCAAAGCAGUGCGACAGAAACAACAACACAGAGUUACAUGGAAUAAACAAGCGUACAGUCACUAACACAAUAGAAAAAAGAAAGUCUAUAUACAGUGUGUGCAAAUGGCAUGAGGAGGUAAGGCAAUAAAUAGGCCAAUAGGCCAAUUUAGCAGAUUAACACUGGAGUGAUAGAUGAGCAGAUGAUGGUGUGUAAAGUAGUGAUACUGGUGUGCAAAAGAGCAGCAAAGUAAAUAAAAACAAUAUGGGGAUGAGGUAGGUAGAUUGGGUGGGCUAUUUACAGAUGGACUAUGUACAGCUGCAGCGAUCGGUUAGCUGCUCAGAUAGGUGAAGUUUAAAGUUAGUGAGGGAAAUGUAAGUCUCCAGUUUCAGCGAUUUUUGCAAUUAGUUCCGGUCACUGGCAGCAGAGAACUUGAAGGAAAGGCGGCUAAAGGAGAUGUUAGCUUUGGGGAUGACCAGUGAGAUAUACCUGCUGGAGCGCGUGCUACGGGUGGGUGUUGUUAUUGUGACCAGUGAGCUGAGAUAAGGUGGAGCUUAGACUUGUAGAUGACCUGGAGCCAGUGGGUCUGGCGACGAAUAUGUCGAGGGCCAGCUGACUAGAGCAUACAGGUCGCAGUGGUGGGUGGUAUAAGGCGCUUUGGUAACAAAACGGAUGGCACUGUGAUAGACUGCAUCCAAUUAGCUGAGUAGAGUAUUGGAAGCUAUUUUGUAGAUGACAUCACAGAAGUCGAGGAUCGGUAGGAUAGUCAGUUAUUACUAGGGUAAGUUUGGAGGCGUGAGUGAAGGAGGCUUUGUUGCGAAAUAGAAAGCCGAUUCUAGAUUUGAUUUUGGAUUGGAGAUGUUUGAUAUGAGUCUGGAAGGAGAGUUUACAGUCUAGCCAGACACCUAGGUAUUUGUAGUUGUCCACGUAUUCUAGGUCAGAACCGUCCAGAGUAGUGAUGCUAGUCAGGCGGGCGGGUGCGGGCAGCGAACGGUUGAAAAGCAUGCAUUUGGUUUUGCUAGCGUUUAAGAGCAGUUGGAGGCCACGGACGGAGUGUUGCAUGGCAUUGAAGCUUGUUUGGAGAUUAGUUAACACAGUGUCCAAAGAAGGGCCAGAUGUAUACAGAAUGGUGUCGUCUGCUAGAAGUCGAUCCCCAAUGAAUCACCUGCAGCAAGAGCGACAUCGUUGAUAUAUACAGAGAAAAGAG